Oncorhynchus masou masou (cherry salmon) is the source of this 263-nucleotide long non-coding RNA. RefSeq lists it as uncharacterized. NCBI's taxonomy places the organism in Eukaryota, Metazoa, Chordata, Actinopteri, Salmoniformes, Salmonidae. The record is from RefSeq and is a predicted model, not a curated record. The transcript is spliced from 3 exons.
AGUAGCUGAGUUCAUAUCUCUACUCUCAGUAUGAUGGAAAAACUCUCCCUUCUAUUGCUCUCUCUCUCUCUGUCUGACCUGUUUAAAUGGUCUGAGUCUAGAGUCCAUUCCCUCCAAUUCAGUCAUGAAAAAGCCUGAAGAAACUCAGUCUCUCCUGUACGGGACCUGGGGUAACCUCUAGUAGCUACAACACACAUUGGGUUCCCCACAGUUCCUCCAAAUGUUGAGUCAGUCCAGAUGUCUGAUGAAUAGAGCCAGUCCAC